Oncorhynchus kisutch (coho salmon) is the source of this 530-nucleotide long non-coding RNA. RefSeq lists it as uncharacterized. NCBI's taxonomy places the organism in Eukaryota, Metazoa, Chordata, Actinopteri, Salmoniformes, Salmonidae. The record is from RefSeq and is a predicted model, not a curated record. The transcript has 2 exons.
UGCUUAUUCAGACCAUUUUGUUUUUACUGUUUUUUCUGAGUAAUUAAUGUCUGUCUCAGUGCAAUCAAUAAAACAAGGAAACAGAACACCUGUUAUGAAUUCUUGCAAAUUAAAAUGUUUUAUUAUAUAAAUUAUAUACAAUAUUCAUGAUGUAUACGUAUAACAUAUCAAAUAAAAUCCUCAUAGCCCAGUCCAAGCUCUUUGUCCUGGCACACCAAUGGUGGAACCAGCUUCCCCCUGAAGCUAGGACAGCAGAGUCCCUGCCCAACUUCCGAAAACACCUGAAACUCCAUCUCCUCAAAAAUUCAGACAACUGUUAGCAGAUUGUCCGUUGGGCCAGGCGUGAAUAUUCUAGUAUUAUAAUAUUGUAUUCAUACUGGUUAGUUAGGGAGGCCUAUAUUAUAGGACCAUCAACAGGCAAUUAAUUAAAUAUGCUAAAUUUAAUUUGAGGGUUUUGUGUAUGCAGGAAAAGUAAUGUGUUCUUUUUACAGAAUAGUAAAAAUAAUAAACUGACAUUACAAUAUGCCUUG